AUUCCAGCUCCAAUAUCGUAUAUUAAUGUUGUUGCAGUUAAAAAGCUCGUAGUUGAAUUUCUGGUUAAAAUCUUAGCUGGCUUUUGUCGUUAAUGUUUUAAUCAUCCGUUAGAGAACUAUAACCGUCCUUAACUGGUCAUUAUAGAGAUCUAACAUUUUACUUUGAAAAAAUUAGAGUGUUCAAGGCAGGCAAUCGUCAUGAAUACUAUAGCAUGGAAUAAUGGAAUAGGACUUUGGUUCAUUUUAUUGGUUAUUGAACCUUAGUAAUGAUUAACAGGGACAGUUGGGGGCAUUAGUAUUUAAUUGUCAGAGGUGAAAUUCUUGGAUUUAUUAAAGACUAACUUAUGCGAAAGCAUUUGCCAAGGAUGUUUUCAUCA
This 377-nucleotide ribosomal RNA is filed under the name Prostomatea sp. RNAcentral describes it as "partial small subunit ribosomal RNA". It matches the Rfam family "Eukaryotic small subunit ribosomal RNA", at positions 582 to 975 of the family's 1831-position model. Lineage: Eukaryota; Ciliophora; Prostomatea. The record is from RNAcentral.